UACGAAGGGGGCUAGCGUUGCUCGGAAUCACUGGGCGUAAAGGGUGCGUAGGCGGGUCUUUAAGUCAGGGGUGAAAUCCUGGAGCUCAACUCCAGAACUGCCUUUGAUACUGAAGAUCUUGAGUUCGGGAGAGGUGAGUGGAACUGCGAGUGUAGAGGUGAAAUUCGUAGAUAGUCGCAAGAACACCAGUGGCGAAGGCGGCUCACUGGCCCGAUACUGACGCUGAGGCACGAAAGCGUGGGGAGCAAACAGG
RNAcentral lists this ribosomal RNA (253 nucleotides) under uncultured bacterium. RNAcentral describes it as "partial 16S ribosomal RNA". It matches the Rfam family "Bacterial small subunit ribosomal RNA", at positions 524 to 776 of the family's 1533-position model. The record is from RNAcentral.